CUGUCACUCUUUAAGCAAAAUAAACAGAUUUUUGAGCAUCAUCUCUUUUUUGGAUCAUCAUUUUGCAAGUGGAGAUUGUGCUUUUUUUUCUGAAGCUUUGGUAGUGUAACUGUAAGAGUCCUGGAAUUGGAAAAGCAAAUCCAGAAGUUGAGUUCCAUGACUUUUUUGCUGUUUGCCUUUGGACUUGCAUCAUUUAUAUUUUUAAUUCAUCGAGGAUGAGAAAAUUGAUUAACACAAAAUCUUUUCAUGUCUUUUCUGAUGAGAGACUAGCUGAAUCCAAGAAGAGAAGCCCUUGAAGAGUGUAUUCUAUUCUAGACAAGCAUUCACACAUUGGCUUCUUUGGUGCCAGCAUGUUUCUGAUCAGCAUGAAAACUGCGCAGGAGCUUUUCUGUCUUGCAGAGCUAGUUAAUGAGAUUGUUGCUGCCUUCAGAUUCUAUAAAGGACUUCUCCAAUAUUGGAUUAAAGAAUGAAGAAAGGAUCAAAUUGAGACAUCCAGGGGGGAAGAGUUCCCUGGCAAAACUCCAAUCUGCCUGAGCACUGAGGUGGAGCCACAGAAGUCCGGGUCAUUUGCACCUGGGAGGAGCCUGGCCCCUCCUCUUCCUGUGUGGAAUCUGGGAUUUAAUCUGUGAGGAGGGAAGGCCAAGGGCAGGAAGCACAGGCUCUCACUUCACUAAGAGUCUCUGUUUCCCCUUUUUUUCCUUUAUGCCUAAUUAAUAAAUCCCAUUUUUCUCACUCU
Molecule: long non-coding RNA, 736 nt
Filed under: Homo sapiens (human)
Lineage: Eukaryota; Metazoa; Chordata; Mammalia; Primates; Hominidae
Description: non-protein coding LINC02328:60
Source: RNAcentral